This 32-nucleotide transfer RNA is filed under the name Lepidolaena brachyclada. RNAcentral's name for it is "partial tRNA-Phe". The record is from RNAcentral. Lineage: Eukaryota; Viridiplantae; Streptophyta; Jungermanniopsida; Porellales; Lepidolaenaceae.
GCCGGGAUAGCUCAGUUGGUAGAGCAGGGGAU